UGCGGGGUAGUUUCUGUUGGUAGAAAUGCGUGGCCUUGAACCACGCGUCCGCAGGUUCGAUUCCUGCCCCCGUAG
RNAcentral lists this transfer RNA (75 nucleotides) under Fuerstiella marisgermanici. RNAcentral describes it as "Fuerstia marisgermanicae tRNA". It matches the Rfam family "tRNA". From Rfam's summary of the family: Transfer RNA (tRNA) molecules are approximately 80 nucleotides in length. Their secondary structure includes four short double-helical elements and three loops (D, anti-codon, and T loops). Further hydrogen bonds mediate the characteristic L-shaped molecular structure. tRNAs have two regions of fundamental functional importance: the anti-codon, which is responsible for specific mRNA codon recognition, and the 3' end, to which the tRNAs corresponding amino acid is attached (by aminoacyl-tRNA synthetases). tRNAs cope with the degeneracy of the genetic code in two manners: having more than one tRNA (with a specific anti-codon) for a particular amino acid; and 'wobble' base-pairing, i.e. permitting non-standard base-pairing at the 3rd anti-codon position. The record is from Rfam by way of RNAcentral. Lineage: Bacteria; Pseudomonadati; Planctomycetota; Planctomycetia; Planctomycetales; Planctomycetaceae.